AUUGAACGCUGGCGGCAGUCCUAACACAUGCAAGUCGAGCGGUAACACAAGGGAGCUUGCUCCUGAGGUGACGAGCGGCGGACGGGUGAGUAAUGCCUAGAUAUCUGCCUAGUCGUGGGGGAUAACAGUUGGAAACGACUGCUAAUACCGCAUACGCCCUACGGGGGAAAGGAGGGGACCUUCGGGCCUUUCGCGAUUAGAUGAGUCUAGGUGGGAUUAGCUAGUUGGUGAGGUAAGAGCUCACCAAGGCGACGAUCCCUAGCUGUUCUGAGAGGAUGAUCAGCCACACUGGGACUGAGACACGGCCCAGACUCCUACGGGAGGCAGCAGUGGGGAAUAUUGCACAAUGGGGGAAACCCUGAUGCAGCCGUGCCGCGUGUGUGAAGAAGGCCUUCGGGUUGUAAAGCACUUUCAGUUGUGAGGAAAGGGUAAUACUUAAUACGUAUUAUCUGUGACGUUAGCAACAGAAGAAGCACCGGCUAACUCCGUGCCAGCAGCCGCGGUAAUACGGAGGGUGCGAGCGUUAAUCGGAAUUACUGGGCGUAAAGCGUACGCAGGCGGUUUGUUAAGCGAGAUGUGAAAGCCCCGGGCUCAACCUGGGAACUGCAUUUCGAACUGACAAACUAGAGUUUUGUAGAGGGUGGUAGAAUUUCAGGUGGAGCGGUGAACUGCGUAGAGAUCUGAAGGAAUCCCAGUGGCGAAGGCGGCCACCUGGACAAUACCUGACGCUCAUGUACGAAAGCGUGGGGAGCAAACGGGAUUAGAUCCCCCGGUAGUCCACGCCGUAAACGAUGUCUACUAGCCGUAGGGAGACUUGAUCUCUUAGUGGCGCAGCUAACGCGAUAAGUAGACCGCCUGGGGAGUACGGUCGCAAGAUUAAAACUCAAAUGAAUUGACGGGGGCCCGCACAAGCGGUGGAGCAUGUGGGUUAAUUCGAAGCAACGCGAAGAACCUUACCCGCUCUUGACAUCCACAGAAGCCAGUAGAGAUACAGGUGUGCCUUCGGGAACUGUGAGACAGGUGCUGCAUGGCUGUCGUCAGCUCGUGUUGUGAAAUGUUGGGUUAAGUCCCGCAACGAGCGCAACCCCUAUCCUUAGUUGCCAGCGCGUCAUGGCGGGAACUUUAAGGAGACUGCCGGUGAUAAACCGGAGGAAGGUGGGGACGACGUCAAGUCAUCAUGGCCCUUACGAGCGGGGCUACACACGUGCUACAAUGGCCAGGACAAACGGUUGCAACCCCGCGAGGGUGAGCUAAUCUGAGAAACCUGGUCGUAGCCCGGAUCGCAGUCUGCAACUCGACUGCGUGAAGUCGGAAUCGCUAGUAAUCGUGAAUCAGAACGUCACGGUGAAUACGUUCCCGGGCCUUGUACACACCGCCCGUCACACCAUGGGAGUGGAUUGCACCAGAAGUAGCUAGCUGAACCUUCGGGAGGGCGGUUACCACGGUGUGGUUCAUGACUGGGGUGA
Molecule: ribosomal RNA, 1466 nt
Filed under: uncultured prokaryote
Description: partial 16S ribosomal RNA
Rfam family: Bacterial small subunit ribosomal RNA
Source: RNAcentral